Molecule: non-coding RNA, 208 nt
Filed under: Companilactobacillus nodensis
Lineage: Bacteria; Bacillati; Bacillota; Bacilli; Lactobacillales; Lactobacillaceae
Description: Lactobacillus nodensis T-box sequence
Rfam family: T-box leader
About the family: Uncharged tRNA acts as the effector for transcription antitermination of genes in the T-box leader family. T-boxes are found upstream of many aminoacyl-tRNA synthetase genes and some amino acid biosynthetic genes usually in Gram-positive bacteria. The anticodon of a specific tRNA base pairs to a specifier sequence within the T-box motif, and the NCCA acceptor tail of the tRNA base pairs to a conserved bulge in the T-box antiterminator hairpin.
Source: RNAcentral
AUAUAAAUCAACGGAAAUAGUAAGUGAAGGAAGAAUUUCAGAAAGUACGUGGCUAAUGUGAACGUAUAACUUCUUUGACUGAACUCAUCCAUUUAAGUUUAAUUGCUGAACUAACAGUAGGUGAUUACGAAUAGUCCGCGUUAAGGCAUUCAAGAGUCGCUCUCAUUGAGCGGAACUUAGGUGGUAACGCGAUAAUUUCGUCCUAUGA